UGUUCUGUGGCUUAGUUGGUUAAAGCGCCGGUCUAGCGAAUACGGAGUCGUGGGUUCGAACCCCACCAGAACGU
This is a non-coding RNA of Aedes albopictus (Asian tiger mosquito), 74 nucleotides long. NCBI's taxonomy places the organism in Eukaryota, Metazoa, Arthropoda, Insecta, Diptera, Culicidae. The record is from Rfam.